Molecule: ribosomal RNA, 850 nt
Filed under: Helotiales sp.
Lineage: Eukaryota; Fungi; Ascomycota; Leotiomycetes; Helotiales
Description: partial large subunit ribosomal RNA
Rfam family: Eukaryotic large subunit ribosomal RNA
Source: RNAcentral
GGAUUACCUCAGUAACGGCGAGUGAAGCGGUAACAGCUCAAAUUUGAAAUCUGGCUCUUUCAGGGUCCGAGUUGUAAUUUGUAGAAGAUGCUUUGGGCAUUGCUCCGGUCUAAGUUCCUUGGAACAGGACGUCAUAGAGGGUGAGAAUCCCGUAUGUGACUGGUGGCAUUUGUCCGUGUAAAGCUCUUUCGACGAGUCGAGUUGUUUGGGAAUGCAGCUCAAAAUGGGUGGUAUAUUUCAUCUAAAGCUAAAUAUUGGCCAGAGACCGAUAGCGCACAAGUAGAGUGAUCGAAAGAUGAAAAGCACUUUGGAAAGAGAGUUAAACAGUACGUGAAAUUGUUGAAAGGGAAGCGCUUGCAACCAGACUUGCAGGUCGUUGAUCAUCCGGGGUUCUCCCCGGUGCACUCGGCGGCUUUCAGGCCAGCAUCGGUUUGAGUGGUGGGAUAAAGGCCUUGGGAAUGUGGCUCCUUUCGGGGAGUGUUAUAGCCCAAGGUGCAAUGCCGCCUAUUCGGACCGAGGACCGCGCUUCGGCUAGGAUGCUGGCGUAAUGGUUGUAAGCGACCCGUCUUGAAACACGGACCAAGGAGUCUAACAUCUAUGCGAGUGUUUGGGUGUCAAACCCAUACGCGUAAUUAACGUGAACGGAGGUAAGAACCCUUAAGGGUGCAUUAUCGACCGAUCCUGAUGUCUUCGGAUGGAUUUGAGUAAGAGCAUAGCUGUUGGGACCCGAAAGAUGGUGAACUAUGCCUGAAUAGGGUGAAGCCAGAGGAAACUCUGGUGGAGGCUCGCAGCGGUUCUGACGUGCAAAUCGAUCGUCAAAUUUGGGUAUAGGGGCGAAAGACUAAUCGAA